RNAcentral lists this ribosomal RNA (564 nucleotides) under uncultured bacterium. RNAcentral describes it as "bacterial SSU rRNA". It matches the Rfam family "Bacterial small subunit ribosomal RNA", at positions 9 to 574 of the family's 1533-position model. The record is from RNAcentral.
GAGUUUGAUCAUGGCUCAGGAUGAACGCUAGCGGGAGGCUUAACACAUGCAAGUCGAGGGGUAUAAGUAGCAAUAUUUAGAGACCGGCGCACGGGUGAGUAACGCGUAUGCAACCUGCCCUUUACUGGGGGAUAGCCCGUAGAAAUGCGGAUUAAUACCCCAUAGUUCUGUUAGAUCGCAUGGUUUGACAGAUAAAGCCGAGGUGGUAAAGGAUGGGCAUGCGUGACAUUAGCUAGUUGGUAGGGUAACGGCCUACCAAGGCUACGAUGUCUAGGGGUUCUGAGAGGAAGAUCCCCCACACUGGUACUGAGACACGGACCAGACUCCUACGGGAGGCAGCAGUGAGGAAUAUUGGUCAAUGGGCGAGAGCCUGAACCAGCCAUCCCGCGUGCAGGAAGAAUGCCCUAUGGGUUGUAAACUGCUUUUUCGCAUGAAGAACACCUUUGACGUGUCAGAGGCUGACGGUAAUGCGUGAAUAAGCACCGGCUAACUCCGUGCCAGCAGCCGCGGUAAUACGGAGGGUGCAAGCGUUAUCCGGAUUUAUUGGGUUUAAAGGGUGCGUAG